AGACAGACAGAGAGAGACAGACAGAGAGACAGACAGAGAGAGACAGACAGACAGACAGACAGACAGACAGACAGACAGACAGACAGACAGAGAGGCGGUAAGAUUCGCCACCUGGAGGUCAGAGGAGGAGGAAACUGAACCUGCAAAAUGUCUACCAGAAACCAGUGAGGGACUUCGCCUCAUCAGAAGCUUUGAUGGAGAAGUGUUGCUGGUUUUGUGAAUGAGGACUUCACUUUGUUGUGAGGAGCGGCACAUCAGAUGCAUGUGAGGGAGUAUUUUCAGAGGAGCUUCACAUAAUCAAAGACUUCAGAAAUUCUCAGUGGUCUUCCAAAAAUAUCGUCCUCAUAUUCCCCAAAUUUAAAACGUCUUACUCAUUGCAAUCCGGGAUUUUACUUAAUGGUGACGGUAAUAUACAUUUUCAUUCAAAUUAAAAUAAGAAACUAAAAAGUUUGCAUUGUCUCAAUUCUGCAGAAUUCAUUAGAUUCAUUUAAUUUUCUCUGCUUUUUGUUGUUUUCAUCAAAGAAUAAAAGUGGAAGAGAAGGUGUUGCUAUGAUAGAAUCAGGACGUUAAUGAUUGAAUGAUUAUGUGAUCUGCUGGGAAUGCUCUGUAAACACAUGAUUGUGCCUGUAAGACAAUGAAACUUGUAAGAAAAUGAUACAUUUCUAGUUUGCGUGUUGACUAUAUGUGAACACUCUCGUGUGAUUUCCCUCUUUCUCAGCAAAGAUGUUUCUGAACAGCAUUUCUCGCUCAAAUUUCAGUUAAGUGCGUUUAUGGAGAGGUGUUGCAUCCUAGUAGAUAUAGUGUAUCUCUUAAAGGUCGUUCUGCACUGAAACGUGGCUUUAUUGAAUGUCCAAGAACCACACAUUGUAAAUACUGUACAUACAAGAUUAAAUUUUCUUCUUUAUCACAACAAA
Long non-coding RNA from Cottoperca gobio, 914 nucleotides. RefSeq lists it as uncharacterized. Lineage: Eukaryota; Metazoa; Chordata; Actinopteri; Perciformes; Bovichtidae. The record is from RefSeq and is a predicted model, not a curated record. The transcript has 2 exons.